Molecule: transfer RNA, 72 nt
Filed under: Camelus bactrianus (Bactrian camel)
Lineage: Eukaryota; Metazoa; Chordata; Mammalia; Artiodactyla; Camelidae
Also listed under: 2 other names
Rfam family: tRNA
About the family: Transfer RNA (tRNA) molecules are approximately 80 nucleotides in length. Their secondary structure includes four short double-helical elements and three loops (D, anti-codon, and T loops).
Source: Rfam by way of RNAcentral
GAGGGUAUAGCUCAGUGGUAGAGCACGUGCUUAGCAUGCAUGAAGUCCUGGGUUCAAUCCCCAAUACCUCCA